AUCAUUAUCCUUUUUAUCCCACUUACUCCAACCAAUCAUUAUCCUGUUUUAUCACUCAUUAUCUUCUUAUCCCACCUACUCCAACCAAUCAUUAUCCUUCUUUAUCAAUCAUUAUCUUUUUAUCCCACCUAUACCAACCAAACACUAUUUCUCAUUAUUCUAGCCUAACUCUAACCCCGAACCAAACACAAAAAAACUUUAACCCCACUUUAACCCUUAACUUAACCCUAUCUCUGGAAUAUCUACUUUUUCCUUAACCCCGAACCAAACGGAGGCUUAUUAAAAAUUAUUUUGAGGAAAGGUGUUUGGGAAUUUAAAAAUUUUUCUUUGAGAGAGGAGAUGAUUGAGAAUUAUUAUUUUGAGGAGAGAAAUUUUUCAAAGUUGUUUAAACGGUGUUUAACUUCAUAAUCAUAUUAAGUUAAAUUCAUAUUAAUUAUCGUUUUUGCUCCACUUUUUAUUAUUUUGACGAUAAUUUAAUAUAUGAUUUCUCAAUACAUAUAUUUAUCAAAAUUUUGAAAUCAAAUUUGAUCUCUUGGUGAUUAAUCUAUCUCGGUUGUGUGAGUUGAAUAUGAUAGAUGGAUAUUCGCUAAUAAACUAAAAUUUGUCAAAAUAUUUUCAAUUGUGAGAUUGUCUAAUUUAGGGGGAGUUUGAUUUUAUUUAAAAAAAAAGGAAAAAUACUCCUAUGUUUAAAAAGAUGUGGAAAGAGUUACAUCUAAAAGGAGUGUGAAAACUACCACCACAUGUAGGAAAGAGGUACCACCCCGGUCGUCCGGCAAGUGUAUGAAGCUACCACAUGAAAAUUGAAUUGAUUAACCGAAAAAGGUUGAAAAAAAAAUGAAUAUUUUAGAAUUUUCGGAGUAAUAAGGUGUUAGUUUGAAAAAGAUGCUCAAAGAGCCACCCCCGGUAUCAUAUUAGUUAAAUCUCUAUUUUGAACGCGUUACGACAAAUUGGUGUCAAUUUUUGUUGAAUUUCUAAAAAUUAUUUUUCAUCAACUUACAUCUUGAUGAUUUUGAAUCUUGAAAUCAUUUUUGAUAAUGAAAUUUUGAUGUUUCGAUGUGUUUUGAAAUUUUAUAAUAUUUUAUUUUCAUUAUAAUGAGUCUUUGAGUAAAAGCCUUAAUUUAUAUGAAAUUAAUUUAAAUUUGAUGGAUUUUUUAAGAAAAUUUUCGAAAUCUGAGAUCGUGUACCAGUACACAAUCCAGUACCGGUACGGGUAUUGUAGCCGUGGAUAUAUAUCCGGUUACAGAGCUUUUGUUCUUUCUCUAAUCUGAACCAAAAUUCGUUUUCUCUCUCUCUAAAAAUCCCUGGUGCCUUCUUCUUCCAGAUCUACACGAUUUUUCGCAAAAAUUUGUCAGUAUUUAGUUUGGAUUUAAUCGUUUCAUCGCGUUCAUGUUUAUUUUUCGAAAAUAUUCCGAGUUGAAGCUAGAUCUCUGUUUUUGAUCGUUUUUUAUGCAAUUUUUUGCUGUAGAUCAGUGCUUAAGGACAUUAUCUUACUUCUAGAACACUUGAAUCACAUCAAAACACAUUAUUUUUCGCUGAUCCAUGUUCUAAGCUUCAUUUUUCAUGUAAUUUUGGGAUUUUUGUAGGAACUUAGGUUGAGUAAAGGCUUGGACCUAGAUAGGUCGAUACUUUAGGGUGAGACCAACCCUUGAUAUAUGUAAAGUGGAUUCCAGAAUCCUUGCUGCUAGUGCAGCGGCUGCUAGUGCAGCAUACAAGCUCGAUAGUUCUUGGCCGCGGGUGCAUGUGGCAUGUUCCUCUCCCACCGGAAGAACUUCGAGGCUUGUUAUUGAGCAAGAAUCAUGAGCGCUAAGGUGCAUGUGCCAUGUUCCUCUCCCUAUCGGGGAUCUCGGCUCCGGGUGUAUGCGGCAUGUUCCUCUCCCACCGGGGGAUCCCUGACCACGGGUGUACGCAGCUCUGGGCGACCCGUUGGGCGAUGUGGUUUGUGGAUUGAUGGCUGAGGUGCAUGUGAUUGUUCCUUCACCUCGAGCCUGACAAAGCGCGGAUUAUCCGCAUAUGAUUGACUCAAGACCGAGUCGAGUGGCAUAGCUGGCUAAUGUAAAGUAACCUUAGGUAAGAGUGGUAAUGUGUAUAAUAUGGCUAAGGUGUGAGUACCCUUAGAAUAAAGAAUAAAGAAUAAAGAAGGGCUAAUGCUAAAGAUUGGCAAGUAAUAAAGAAUAAAGAAAGGCAAAUGUUAAAGAAUAGCUAGUAAAGUAAAGAAUGGCUAAGAGUAAAGAAUGGAUAAGAAUAAAGCGUAGAAGCAAUUAAUCUACUUAUGUGAAUUGCAUAAUGUGCAUGAUGCAUGUUGUGAGGCAAAAUGAUGGUAACGUUAGUUGCAUGAUUUAUGAUUUUAUAUCUAUCUAUUGGACUAACAUAUUGUUUGCCUCCUUUGGACCUGAUGGUCAAGCUCUUCCCUUAGGUGGUCGUACCCACUGGGAACCAUGGAGUUGGUUCUCACCCCACGUUGUUUUGGGGUGUUACAGGUUCGCACGUGAGUGGCGCGGCGGCGCGAGGCAAGGGCAUAGCUCCGUAGUUAGCGCCCUACCACCGAGACCAGAUAGUGGUACCCCGAGUCGGCAUAGCCUAGGGGUAGAGGAAAAUAAAAGAACAAGAUGUAUCAAACUUGUAAUAAAUUUGUAAUAAUUAGGUUGUAUUUGGAAGUUGAAUGUAAAAGAAUGUAAUUCGUAAUGUAAAAUAUAAUAUGUGAGAUGAAUGCUUAUAAUAGCAAGUAGAUUUAUGUUUUUGAUACUUCCUUAUGCAAUCUUUGGUUGAAAUGUGUUUCUUGUUGGAACUUCGUACAUUGUAUUGAUUGCGACGCCUUGAACGUACAGGGGAGACUCUGUCCGCGGUUCAAGGGAAACCCUGUCCGUUCGGCGGUCUGUUGGCGUGCCCAAAACCAACCAAAGAGGCGGGCUCGGGGCGGGACAGAUAAGAUGGUAUCAGAGCAUAAAAAGAACAUAAAAGAGU
RNAcentral lists this long non-coding RNA (2961 nucleotides) under Ananas comosus (pineapple). RNAcentral describes it as "long non-coding RNA (ACOM_LNC009015)". Lineage: Eukaryota; Viridiplantae; Streptophyta; Magnoliopsida; Poales; Bromeliaceae. The record is from RNAcentral.